AGCCUUGACUUUUUCAAGAAUCUGUGGUAUAGAAUGUGCGUCAGCGAUGACUAUGGCGAUAAAUACCGUUUGGAAUAGGCGUUUUGGACGAGGGUUCGAUUCCCUCCGCCUCCACCAUGGGGGCGACCGGCUUCGACAGGCGCGAUAAAGGAACGGAGUUUGCCAAGGCCUAUCACCUUGGGCGUGCCCGAACGAUAAAAGACGAAUGCUAAUGACAAUCGUCCCGCGUAUGAUCUGGCCCUCGCGGCCUAAUGCGCAAGAUUCUUGACGCACAUUGGACGCGCCAAGUGGGGUUCGGGCUUUCCUAUCAACAGAAAAGCCCGUUU
This 326-nucleotide transfer-messenger RNA is filed under the name Rickettsiales bacterium. It matches the Rfam family "Alphaproteobacteria transfer-messenger RNA". From Rfam's summary of the family: Bacterial tmRNA, also known as 10Sa RNA or SsrA, is named for its dual tRNA and mRNA-like properties. Its role is to liberate the mRNA from a stalled ribosome. The record is from RNAcentral. Lineage: Bacteria; Pseudomonadati; Pseudomonadota; Alphaproteobacteria; Rickettsiales.